Molecule: non-coding RNA, 517 nt
Organism: Erythranthe guttata (spotted monkey flower)
Lineage: Eukaryota; Viridiplantae; Streptophyta; Magnoliopsida; Lamiales; Phrymaceae
Source: RefSeq, a predicted model, not a curated record
AUUUUGGUUUUUCUCCAACAAAUUGCAGACUCCAAUACCCCGUCAAAGAAGAAGAUUAUUUUCAUAUUUGGGCAACGACAUGUUCGUUCGUGGAGAUUUCAUCGAGAUAGAUUGAACACUCAACACUUAAAUCUGAGUGCGCCAUGACGAAGAAGCUCGAUAGUCAUUACCCCGCCGAACAACUUUUAAUAGACGAAAUCAAAGAGGUGAAUCGGAAGGUUCUCUUUUGAUGUGGGAAAGACGUGAUUUCUUGUUUCAGGGAAACUUCACUCAUUUUGAUGAUAAAGCAAACUUUGUUCAGCAAGAGAAUGCAGAAAUGCAACUUGUUGUCGAAUUAAUGGUCAUCACAAAAGAAGGAUUUUGAUGGCAAGAGAUUUGAAUUGUCAAGAUUGAGCUUCCAAGGUGUGAAUAGAGUAAAGAUGCUAUUCUGUACUCUACUGUCGAUGUGUUUUAGGCAAAUCAACAAAUAAAAUUGUUAUUCAGCUAUAUUCAGUCAUUAAUAUUCUUUCAUAAUAGA